CAGUCGCCGCGGGAAUACGUAGGGUGCGAGCGUUAAUCGGAAUUACUGGGCGUAAAGCGUGCGCAGGCGGUUAUAUAAGACAGAUGUGAAAUCCCCGGGCUCAACCUGGGACCUGCAUUUGUGACUGCAUAGCUAGGGUACGGUAGAGGGGGAUGGAAUUCCCCGUGUAGCAGUGAAAUGCGUAGAUAUGCGGAGGAACACCGAUGGCGAAGGCAAUCCUCUGGACCUGUACUGACGCUCAUGCACGAAAGCGUGGGGAGCAAACAGGAUUAGAUACCCCCGUAGUCCCUGUCUUUAUACA
This 301-nucleotide ribosomal RNA is filed under the name uncultured bacterium. Its description in RNAcentral is "partial 16S ribosomal RNA". It matches the Rfam family "Bacterial small subunit ribosomal RNA", at positions 509 to 809 of the family's 1533-position model. The record is from RNAcentral.